Non-coding RNA from Nylanderia fulva, 485 nucleotides. Lineage: Eukaryota; Metazoa; Arthropoda; Insecta; Hymenoptera; Formicidae. The record is from RefSeq and is a predicted model, not a curated record.
UCUCCUCCCUGAAGGUGUCAACCUGCUCGCGAAUUCGUGCUCCAGCGUGUUCUCCAAAAGUGAAGCUCACGCACGGAUUUCAACCCCUCGGUGUUUCAGCCCUCUUUUUUUGCCCUCCGAAGGUUGACCUUUCCUCUCUCUCAGUUUUCUCGCGGCAUUUUUUUCGACGGUCUUUGUGAAACUCGCGGACCGAGUGAAAAGUUCGAGGGAACAAGGCUCUUACCUCCGGAUAACGCGAACGCGGACAGUCGUAUUUACUCGAGUCUGGUCACGUGACACUCUUCAGCUGGCGACGAUUAUCAUGCUGGCCGGGAUCUUCGAAGGCAACAAUGAGGAAGCUGAAUCGACGUAACGCUCCACGCCAGGAUGGCCGGUUGGCCGUUCAGCACCGCGCUGCUGUUCAGCAUCCUCAUCCUUGUUCGCGGACGAAACCCGAAGCUCAUUUGGGGUGGGAUCGUGCCCAUGCAAAUGGAUCCUGUCUGGCG